Molecule: ribosomal RNA, 448 nt
Filed under: uncultured bacterium
Lineage: Bacteria
Description: bacterial SSU rRNA
Rfam family: Bacterial small subunit ribosomal RNA
Source: RNAcentral
GAUGAACGCUGGCGGCGUGCUUAACACAUGCAAGUCGAACGAAGCACUUUAUUUGAUUUCCUUCGGGACUGAUUAUUUUGUGACUGAGUGGCGGACGGGUGAGUAACGCGUGGGUAACCUGCCUUGUACAGGGGGAUAACAGUUGGAAACGACUGCUAAUACCGCAUAAGCGCACAGUAUCGCAUGAUGCAGUGUGAAAAACUCCGGUGGUAUAAGAUGGACCCGCGUUGGAUUAGCUAGUUGGUGAGGUAACGGCCCACCAAGGCGACGAUCCAUAGCCGACCUGAGAGGGUGACCGGCCACAUUGGGACUGAGACACGGCCCAAACUCCUACGGGAGGCAGCAGUGGGGAAUAUUGCACAAUGGGCGAAAGCCUGAUGCAGCGACGCCGCGUGAGCGAAGAAGUAUUUCGGUAUGUAAAGCUCUAUCAGCAGGGAAGAUAAUGACG